CUGAUGACGACCGGCGCACGGGUGAGUAACGCGUAUACAACCUACCUUUUAGCGGGGAAUAGCCCAGGGAAACUUGGAUUAAUGUCCCAUAGUAUGGAGGUCUCUCCUGAGAUCAUCAUUAAACAUUUAUGGCUAUUAGAUGGGUAUGCGUCCUAUUAGUUAGUUGGUAAGGUAACGGCUUACCAAGGCAGCGAUAGGUAGGGGUCCUGAGAGGGAGAUCCCCCACACUGGUACUGAGACACGGACCAGACUCCUACGGGAGGCAGCAGUGAGGAAUAUUGGACAAUGGGCGAGAGCCUGAUCCAGCCAUGCCGCGUGCAGGAAGACUGCCCUAUGGGUUGUAAACUGCUUUUACAGAGGAAGAACCACUCCCACGUGUGGGAGUUUGACGGUACUCUGCGAAUAAGGAUCGGCUAACUCCGUGCCAGCAGCCGCGGUAAUACGGAGGAUCCGAGCGUUAUCCGGAAUCAUU
RNAcentral lists this ribosomal RNA (472 nucleotides) under marine sediment bacterium BB0608_AND_1.1_9S0. RNAcentral describes it as "bacterial SSU rRNA". It matches the Rfam family "Bacterial small subunit ribosomal RNA", at positions 85 to 555 of the family's 1533-position model. The record is from RNAcentral.